ACGCUGGCGGCGUGCUUAACACAUGCAAGUCGAACGGAAAGGCCCUGCUUUUGUGGGGUGCUCGAGUGGCGAACGGGUGAGUAACACGUGAGUAACCUGCCCUUGACUUUGGGAUAACUUCAGGAAACUGGGGCUAAUACCGGAUAGGAGCUCCUGCUGCAUGGUGGGGGUUGGAAAGUUUCGGCGGUUGGGGAUGGACUCGCGGCUUAUCAGCUUGUUGGUGGGGUAGUGGCUUACCAAGGCUUUGACGGGUAGCCGGCCUGAGAGGGUGACCGGCCACAUUGGGACUGAGAUACGGCCCAGACUCCUACGGGAGGCAGCAGUGGGGAAUAUUGCACAAUGGGCGGAAGCCUGAUGCAGCAACGCCGCGUGCGGGAUGACGGCCUUCGGGUUGUAAACCGCUUUCGCCUGUGACGAAGCGUGAGUGACGGUAAUGGGUAAAGAAGCACCGGCUAACUACGUGCCAGCAGCCGCGGUGAUACGUAGGGUGCGAGCGUUGUCCGGAUUUAUUGGGCGUAAAGGGCUCGUAGGUGGUUGAUCGCGUCGGAAGUGUAAUCUUGGGGCUUAACCCUGAGCGUGCUUUCGAUACGGGUUGACUUGAGGAAGGUAGGGGAGAAUGGAAUUCCUGGUGGAGCGGUGGAAUGCGCAGAUAUCAGGAGGAACACCAGUGGCCAAGGCGGUUCUCUGGGCCUUUCCUGACGCUGAGGAGCGAAAGCGUGGGGAGCGAACAGGCUUAGAUACCCUGGUAGUCCACGCUGUAAACGGUGGGUACUAGGUGUGGGGUCCAUUCCUCGGGUUCCGUGCCGUACUAACGCUUUAAGUACCCCGCCUGGGGAGUACGGCCGCAAGGCUAAAACUC
RNAcentral lists this ribosomal RNA (859 nucleotides) under uncultured bacterium. RNAcentral describes it as "bacterial SSU rRNA". It matches the Rfam family "Bacterial small subunit ribosomal RNA", at positions 33 to 902 of the family's 1533-position model. The record is from RNAcentral.